UACAGGGGGUGCAAACGUUGCUCGGAAUCAUUGGGCGUAAAGCGCACGUAGGCGGUUCGUUAUGUCGGAUGUGAAAGCCCUUGGCUUAACCGAGGAAGUGCAUCCGAAACUGGCGAGCUAGAGUACGAAAGAGGAUCGCGGAAUUCCCGGUGUAGAGGUGAAAUUCGUAGAUAUCGGGAGGAACACCUGUGGCGAAAGCGGCUCACUGGACCACAACUGACGCUGAGGCGCGAAAGCUAGGGGAGCAAACAGG
RNAcentral lists this ribosomal RNA (253 nucleotides) under uncultured bacterium. Its description in RNAcentral is "partial 16S ribosomal RNA". It matches the Rfam family "Bacterial small subunit ribosomal RNA", at positions 524 to 776 of the family's 1533-position model. The record is from RNAcentral.